CUUUUGCAGCCAGAGUGGAAACGGAAGAUGGCUUUCAGCAACCACACAAACAGCAGUUCAGCUGUGCCGGAGUUACUCCACAUGCUUGUGGAACAAAAGAAGACCCCACGCUUCAAUAAUUACAGCAACCCGGCCUUGGAGAUGCAAGAGGAGAUAAUGGCCUCUUUUUACAUCCUCAUCAUCGUUGGCUUUUUCGGCUUUCUGCUGUUUGUCAUGAUGCUCAGCAACAUCGUUUCCAGCAAGCCUGAAAAUUACAUUGACUAUCUCUAUUCUGGGAAGAUUAACCCUCAGAGAAGCAAGGUGGAGCUUCCAGGAACAGAGAGCAAAGACACUUUUGUUAUCAUUAACAGCACUGCCUUACUGGAGCUACAAAGGCAGGAUGGUAAAUACAACACUGGGCCUGAGGCAACAAGUGCAGAUGCAGUUCUGAGGAAUGUAUAAAAAUGGUUUCUUUUUUAUUAUUAUUGUUCUGUUGUGCAUAAGGAGCUCAAACAGCAAUAACUUUUUUUUCAUUCAUGAAAGCAAGAAAGGAGGAGCUGUGCCAGGAAAGAAGCAGACUGGUCUCAUGCAAGCUUCCCACAUGAAUGAUGUGAAGGUAACAAGUGCAACGUGCAACCUGUGUUAUUUCAGCCCUAGGCCUUUGGAGAAGAGGCUGGGAAUCACGUCCUUACUGGUCUAUCUCCUUCAGGGCUGCGUGUAUCAUGCAUUUUUAUAACCUGCCUCUCGGGAGAAUGGAAGCUCUUCCUUUUCAUGCUGUUGCUUCAAGCAGGGCCAGUACGCUUCCAGCUAGGGCAUCGUUGUGGUGCCUGUUUGCUGUUAUUAAUUUUUAUUUGUUUAUUUAUGUGGUGGAGGGGUUGGAGCUACACGUGAGCCCACUGGGUGUGUGCUCUGCAAGCAGGAGGAGCAGCAGCUGCCUCCUCAUCCACACUCCUCACCAUGCUGGGCACCAGAGGUGGUGACAGGCUGACCCAUGGAGGACCCGUGAGACUUGUACUUGUGUGCUCGCUUGGCAGGCUUGGUCUGCAGCGGGUUUUGGACAGUGGUCAUGCAUUUCUCAGCAGCUCUCUUCCUGCACGUUGGACUUGUACAAAAGCUCAGGAUGACAAUGAGGUGGUCCCAGACAUCCUGAUGUCUCUCCAGGGUCCAUCACAGGGCCUACCUGGCCAUCAUCAGGGCCUUCCUGGCCUCAGCAAACACAAGAAGGAGUGGUUUACCCACCACACAGCUCAGGGUUGUUCAUCCCAUGUCCUGCAGAGCCCUGGCACACAGGGGUUCAGGACAGUAGCUAUGGGGAGACAAACAGCAGUGAGCUUCAGCUUUCUAUUAUCAGUGCAUGCAUUGGAAAAAUCUCUGGAGUCUGGAGGUCAAAACGAUUGGAAACUGCUGGUGCAGGCUGAAGCAAGGGAAGCACCAGGCUAGAGGGUGAACUCCAAAGCCCUGGGAAGUACUAUUUGCCUCCCUGCAAACUCAGGGACAUCUUUGAUUUUGGCAAGUGCUUCUCUUGUUGGUUCCAUUGUGGAUUGAGAGCUAUAAUUACACACCUUUGGAAAUUCUCUUUUGAUACCAGACUUUCGAGUGAGACUUUAGCUAGUGUUCAGGACUUCAUCAGACAGCUAGGAGGAAAAAUGGAUUAUUUAAAUUGGGCAUGGUAUUUGUCAGAAAAAAUAAUCUUAUUUUUCCUCAUUCCACACAAGACUGGAAAAAAAGCCACCACAGAUUUCCUGUAGAAUAAUAUUCUCAAAUAUUGUUUUUUGGGAAAAAAAAUGUACUUACAUUUUAUAUAGAUAAAUAUAAAAUGUUAGAUUAACUUAAUUUAAGCUGCUGUACUUAAUACAGCACAUCAGCAGAAACAUCCACUGUUUGCCUAACAUCAUGCCUACUGUCUAUGUGUAUUUCAUUAUGUUCCAUAUUUCAUUAUGUUUUCAUUUUGUAUUUUAAAAUAAAGGGUUUGUGAUGAUUUUUAGCUUGUGUAAACAUGGUGAGUGUAACCUAAUCACAUAAUUACUACUGAAAUGGGUAAUUGGUAUGUACUGAUAAUUGGUAUCCUAAUUGCCUCAUUAAUAGGGACUUUGUUCAGGGGUAAUUGGUAAAUUUGCCAUUUAGCUAAGUGGUACACUGGAAUUCCAGAAAGCACCAAAAAAGCUUGUUAAGGGGGGGGUCAGGCCUCACCGUCCUUCCUGAGCAUCCCUGGGGAGUGCUCCACAUGGCUCUGAGCCCACCACCCAUGC
RNAcentral lists this long non-coding RNA (2228 nucleotides) under Anas zonorhyncha (Eastern spot-billed duck). Its description in RNAcentral is "lncRNA (ENSAZOG00000001348.1)". Lineage: Eukaryota; Metazoa; Chordata; Aves; Anseriformes; Anatidae. The record is from RNAcentral.